RNAcentral lists this ribosomal RNA (468 nucleotides) under uncultured bacterium. Its description in RNAcentral is "partial 16S ribosomal RNA". It matches the Rfam family "Bacterial small subunit ribosomal RNA", at positions 28 to 507 of the family's 1533-position model. The record is from RNAcentral.
GACGAACGCUGGCGGCGUGCUUAACACAUGCAAGUCGAACGGAAAGGCCCUGCUUUUGUUGGGGGCUCUAGUGUCGAACGGGUGAGUAACACGUGUGUAUCCUGCCCUUGACUUUUGGAUAACUUCAUGAAACUGUGGCUAAUACAGGGUAUGAGCUCCUGCUGCAGUGUGUGGGUUGGAAAGUUUCGGCGGUUGGGUAUGGACUCGCGGCUUAUCAGCUUGUUUUUUUGGUAGUGGCUUACCAAGGCUUCGACGGGUCGCCGGCCUGAGAGGGUGAACGGCGACAUGGGGCAGGAGAUACGGGCCAGAAGCAGACGGGAGGAAGGAGUGAGGAAUAUUGCACAAUGGGCGGAAGCCUGAUGGAGCAACGCCGCGUGCGGGAUGACGGCCUUCGUGCUGUAAACAGCUUUCGCCUGUGAUGAAGCGUGAGUACCGGUAAUGGGUAAAGAAGCACCGGCUAACUACGUG